AGGAUGAACGCUAGCGACAGGCUUAACACAUGCAAGUCGAGGGGCAGCAUGAUUUGUAGCAAUACAGAUUGAUGGCGACCGGCGCACGGGUGAGUAACGCGUAUGCAACUUACCUAUCAGAGGGGGAUAGCCCGGCGAAAGUCGGAUUAAUACCCCAUAAAACAGGGGUCCCGCAUGGGAAUAUUUGUUAAAGAUUCAUCGCUGAUAGAUAGGCAUGCGUUCCAUUAGGCAGUUGGCGGGGUAACGGCCCACCAAACCGACGAUGGAUAGGGGUUCUGAGAGGAAGGUCCCCCACAUUGGUACUGAGACACGGACCAAACUCCUACGGGAGGCAGCAGUGAGGAAUAUUGGUCAAUGGCCGAGAGGCUGAACCAGCCAAGUCGCGUGAAGGAAGAAGGAUCUAUGGUUUGUAAACUUCUUUUAUAGGGGAAUAAAGUGGAGGACGUGUCCUUUUUUGUAUGUACCCUAUGAAUAAGCAUCGGCUAACUCCGUGCCAGCAGCCGCGGUAAUACGGAGGAUGCGAGCGUUAUCCG
RNAcentral lists this ribosomal RNA (533 nucleotides) under Parabacteroides merdae ATCC 43184. RNAcentral's name for it is "SSU rRNA". It matches the Rfam family "Bacterial small subunit ribosomal RNA", at positions 26 to 547 of the family's 1533-position model. The record is from RNAcentral. Lineage: Bacteria; Pseudomonadati; Bacteroidota; Bacteroidia; Bacteroidales; Tannerellaceae.